GCGUCUUAACCUUUCAAUAAAAGUCGUAAAUUGAUCAGUGCUCUGUGUGUCAUACAUAGUUACUAUAAAUAAAUAAAAAAGCUUGAAUUCUGUAUCAUGCUGUUUCUCCAUCAGCAGCCAGAGUCUGAGAGAGAGUACAGUAGAUUAUGCUUUUUUUUCCCCUCUGAACUGAUUCUUCACACUUCUAGUGUUAAAGAUAGUUCAUUUUAAAUAGGUGAGUCAUUGACCUCUUAAAUUGGGGAGAAAGUUUGGUAUAAUAGAAAUAUUCUCUAUAUUUAAAGUCCUGUAUUGUGAUCUGUGGGUUGAGGUUGGAAAUUUUUUUUUUUGUUUUUUUUUUCCUUCCCCGCUGGGGGUUAUAAUUAUGGUUGGAGUUGAUUAAUCUCUCCACUAUCUUCUCAGGUCACCACAGAUUUACUCACAUUACUCAUUCCUAUUGCUCAACAUAAGGUGGUUUUGUUUUAAUUAAGUUAUAAUUGAGUGGGAGGGGCUUACAGUAGGUAAUACCUGUAGCAGGAGGGGUUUAAUCUGUAUUGGGUGUGUCUUACCCUCUGGGUCAGGCUUAGUAACAAAACAGCAGGUAAAUAAAUAUAAUUGAGUAGAUAUUUUCUACACUCUGCAGUAGUAAGACCCUGUGAACCACCUCAGCUUCAACUGAAGAGACCAGAUUAAGGAGCAUCCCAUCCAGGAUGAAGAUUUUAAUCGUUCUAAUCAGCCUGAUCACACUCUCCUGCACUCUUCCAGUAAUUCGCACAAAAGCAAGGCCUCGUCGCCAGAUAUCAUUUGGUGGCACGUUCCCGUUCUUCAGACCAAUCAUGGGAAUAAACCCUCGGCUCAACAACGUCAACCCAGUGAUCCACAUCCCAGAUCCACCACGGCCUAGACCUUCAACCAAUACAGCCACCACAUAUUCCCAACUGAGGCCCCCAGACUGUAGAGUUCAAGAUCCCCAGAACCCCCAGAACCCUGGCGCCUUGUUCCUCAUCCCGUCAUCUGACCCCAGGGGCAGCCCCCAGGCCUUCCUAAUCCCAUCUCUCUCAGGCAACCAGAACACUUCCAACUCUUUUCCCACUCAAAUCUUUGUCCUUCCACCAUCUUCAGGUCAGAGCUUUGGGCCGGGGAGUGGACAGCUAGUACCUCCCAUUAGACCAGAGUCCAGCUCCACCCUGUCUGGAGGACAAGCGCCCGUCAUCGUUGUCCCCGGGGUCUUCCUCGCCGCGCCGGACAACCGGCCAGCCGGAGGAGUCUCACCGUGGAGUGGACAGUAUCCAGGCAAGGGUGUACCGUACCAAAACGGGGGUCCACCGUUCACAUCGGGGGGUGGCCAGUACCCAGCUGGAAAUUCACAGUACCCAAC
RNAcentral lists this long non-coding RNA (1354 nucleotides) under Astyanax mexicanus (Mexican tetra). RNAcentral's name for it is "lncRNA (ENSAMXG00005007739.1)". Lineage: Eukaryota; Metazoa; Chordata; Actinopteri; Characiformes; Acestrorhamphidae. The record is from RNAcentral.